GGCCUGAUAGCUCAGUUGGUAGAGCAAAGGACUGAAAAUCCUUGUGUCGGUGGUUCAAUUCCUGCUCAGGCCAC
RNAcentral lists this transfer RNA (74 nucleotides) under Wolbachia endosymbiont of Aleurodicus dispersus. Its description in RNAcentral is "tRNA-Phe". It matches the Rfam family "tRNA". Rfam says of the family: Transfer RNA (tRNA) molecules are approximately 80 nucleotides in length. The record is from RNAcentral. RNAcentral also lists the same sequence under 1 other name. Lineage: Bacteria; Pseudomonadati; Pseudomonadota; Alphaproteobacteria; Rickettsiales; Anaplasmataceae.